Molecule: ribosomal RNA, 161 nt
Filed under: uncultured bacterium
Lineage: Bacteria
Description: partial 16S ribosomal RNA
Rfam family: Bacterial small subunit ribosomal RNA
Source: RNAcentral
UGGGGAAUAUUGGACAAUGGGGGAAACCCUGAUCCAGCCAUGCCGCGUGUGUGAAGAAGGCCUUAUGGUUGUAAAGCACUUUAAGCGAGGAGGAGGCUACUGAGACUAAUACUCUUGGAUAGUGGACGUUACUCGCAGAAUAAGCACCGGCUAACUCUGUG